This 341-nucleotide long non-coding RNA is filed under the name Pelobates cultripes (western spadefoot toad). The record is from RNAcentral. Lineage: Eukaryota; Metazoa; Chordata; Amphibia; Anura; Pelobatidae.
CUGGAUGUGAAGAGAGGUGUGUAGGUAUUUAUCCAAACGCCAUAGGAAAAAAUAUGGUUAAGACACCACAAUCAAAUGGUACUUGUGAUGAUUGGCACAGUUAUUAUUUAUGUUUGUGUUCGUCAUUGCCUGUGUUUUCAUUCAAGAACUUUCAAGCAAGGAUAUUUUAAGCAGAAGCAGAAGAAGAAGAAGCACUGGACACUAUGCUCAACUGUUGCUGUAAGGAGAAAAAAUAUUGCAGCUAAGAGUGGUGAGAGUCGGAACAAAAUGCAUCAGGAGCAGGAAACUGUUACGUCAAGGUGGUUAAUGGUAUAAAGAAAGAAAAAACAAAACAAUGUGAC